GUGGCGGCGUGCCUAACACAUGCAAGUCGAACGGAGAUUCAGAUGAAGCUUGCGAUUCUGAAUCUUAGUGGCGGACGGGUGAGUAACGCGUGGGUAAUCUGCCCUUAAGUGGGGGAAUAACAAGUCGGAAACGACUGCUAAUACCGCAUAAGCUGGCGGGAACACAUGUUUCUGUCAGGAAAGGUGGCCUCUUAACAAUGCUAAACCGCUUAAGGAUGAGCCCGCGUCUGAUUAGCUAGUAGGUGGGGUAAUGGCCUACCUAGGCGACGAUCAGUAGCCGGCCUGAGAGGGUGUACGGCCACACUGGAACUGAGACACGGUCCAGACUCCUACGGGAGGCAGCAGUGGGGAAUAUUGCGCAAUGGGGGAAACCCUGACGCAGCGACGCCGCGUGAACGAGGGAGCCCUUCGGGGUGUAAAGUUCUUUUCUAUACGAGCAGUGCUAUAUAUAUGGAUAGUAUAUAUAGAGGGAUAGUAGUAUAGGAAUAAGCAACGGCUAACUCCGUG
RNAcentral lists this ribosomal RNA (507 nucleotides) under uncultured bacterium. Its description in RNAcentral is "bacterial SSU rRNA". It matches the Rfam family "Bacterial small subunit ribosomal RNA", at positions 37 to 507 of the family's 1533-position model. The record is from RNAcentral.